This 449-nucleotide ribosomal RNA is filed under the name uncultured bacterium. Its description in RNAcentral is "bacterial SSU rRNA". It matches the Rfam family "Bacterial small subunit ribosomal RNA", at positions 355 to 825 of the family's 1533-position model. The record is from RNAcentral.
UCGGGAAUUUUGGGCAAUGGGGGAAACCCUGACGCAGCGACGCCGCGUGUGGGAUGAAGGUCUUCGGAUUGUAAACCACUGUCGCGAGGGACGAAGCUCUGACGGUACCUCGAAAGGAAGCACCGGCCAACUCUGUGCCAGCAGCCGCGGUAAUACAGAGGGUGCAAGCGUUGCUCGGAUUUACUGGGCGUAAAGCGUACGCAGACGGUGAGGAAGGUCGGAUGUGAAAGCCCUGGGCUCAACCCAGGAACUGCAUCCGAAACCGCCUCGCUAGAGUAUGAGAGAGGAAAGCGGAAUUCCUGGUGUAGAGGUGAAAUUCGUAGAUAUCAGGAGGAACACCUGCGGCGAAGGCGGCUUUCUGGCUCAUUACUGACGUUCAGGUACGAAAGCGUGGGUAGCAAACAGGAUUAGAUACCCCUGUAGUCCCUGAGCGGGCUGGCAAGGCGCAU